GUGUCAGCAGCCGCGGUAAGACGUACCACCCAAACGUUAUUCGGAUUCACUGGGCUUACAGAGUCCGUAGGCGGUCGAGAAAGUUGGAUGUGAAAUACCUCAGCUCAACUGAGGAAUUGCGUUCAAAACUACUUGGCUAGAGAGAUACAGAGGUGAGCGGAACUGAUGGUGGAGCGGUGAAAUGCGUUGAUAUCAUCAGGAACACCGGUGGCGAAAGCGGCUCACUGGGUAUUUUCUGACGCUGAGGGACGAAAGCUAGGGGAGCGAACGGGAUUAGAUACCCCGGUAGUCCUAGCCUUAAACGAUGAGCACUAGAUCGAAGGGACCUCCACAUCCUUUUGGUCGUAGGGAAACUGUUAAGUGCUCCGCCUGGGGAGUAUGGUCGCAAGGCUGAA
Molecule: ribosomal RNA, 395 nt
Filed under: uncultured bacterium
Lineage: Bacteria
Description: bacterial SSU rRNA
Rfam family: Bacterial small subunit ribosomal RNA
Source: RNAcentral